Molecule: ribosomal RNA, 301 nt
Filed under: uncultured bacterium
Lineage: Bacteria
Description: partial 16S ribosomal RNA
Rfam family: Bacterial small subunit ribosomal RNA
Source: RNAcentral
CAGUCGCCGCGGUAAUACGUAGGUGGCAAGCGUUGUCCGGAAUUAUUGGGCGUAAAGGGCUCGCAGGCGGUUUCUUAAGUCUGAUGUGAAAGUCCCCGGCUCAACCGUGGAGGGUCAUUGGAAACUAGGAAACUUGAGUGCAGAAGAGGAGAGUGGAAUUCCACGUGUAGCGGUGAAAUGCGUAGAGAUGUGGAGGAACACCAGUGGCGAAGGCGACUCUCUGGUCUGUAACUGACGCUGAGGAGCGAAAGCGUGGGGAGCGAACAGGAUUAGAUACCCGCGUAGUCCCUGUCUCUUAUAC